Pogoniulus pusillus (Red-fronted tinkerbird) is the source of this 856-nucleotide long non-coding RNA. RefSeq lists it as uncharacterized. The transcript is spliced from 4 exons. Lineage: Eukaryota; Metazoa; Chordata; Aves; Piciformes; Lybiidae. The record is from RefSeq and is a predicted model, not a curated record.
GGCGGAAGAGCGGCCCCGCCCCCAAGGCCGAGCGAGGCUCCGCUCAUGGGCGGCUCAGCGCCAUCUUGUCUGCCUGCUGGGCAGCCGCUGCGGAGCUGUUGUGGCACCUUCAAGAGCUCCAAGCAGCUGUUGAGGAUUUUCCAGGCAGUUUUCAGCCUUUGGAGGCAUUUUUGAAGGCUGCUGAGCACUGACAGAAGCCAGACCCUGACUGAGAGCCUUGCAGAAGGAGUUUACAGGAGCUUGGCAAGGUCAGCAGUCACCUCUGUAAUGCCUUGUCUGGCUGCUGCUGGUAAUGGGUACUGUGCAACACAGGGUUUCCCCCUUCUGAUGGUGCUGGAGUGAGUUCGAGUAAGGUGCCAUUCCGGGAAUGCCUGAGUCCAAGAGUCUCCUUUGCAUCUGAGUCUGAAGGAAUUCCUUGGGCAACAGUGGCAUGAACAUACUUAAUGGCUUUUCUACCAGUGCUAGUUCAAAGUCUUUGGACGCACAGUCCCUUACUUUAAAGUUUUUCUCCCUCAAUUGUGGUUCUGGUAGAUCAUGAAAUGAAGAAGAUACAAGAGAUUGGGCUUCAGACAGUCUUUCCCCACCCCCACACACCUCUUCAGAGAUACACAAUUUUAAAUUAUCAGGAAGGACUGUAGCAGGAUCAGAAUCUGAUUCUUCUGAAGCUUUUAUGGAGACCUUCAGCUUUAUUUGCUCCUUCAAGGCAGCAACAGUUUCUUUAAUUUGCAGCACAAAUCAUGUAACUUCUGAUUUUGUGCCUCUGCUUUUUCUAAUCCUCUUUUCAAGCUGUUGUUUUUUUCCUUCAGACUCUCUAUAGUGUCUCUCAUUGCAUUAAAUUCACUCUGUGCACAAAUUA